This 468-nucleotide ribosomal RNA is filed under the name uncultured bacterium. Its description in RNAcentral is "partial 16S ribosomal RNA". It matches the Rfam family "Bacterial small subunit ribosomal RNA", at positions 28 to 507 of the family's 1533-position model. The record is from RNAcentral.
GACGAACGCUGGCGGCGUGCUUAACACAUGCAAGUCGAACGGAAAGGCCCUGCUUUUGUGGGGUGCUCGAUUGGCGAACGGGUGAGUAACACGUGCGUAACCUGCCCUUGACUUUGGGAUAACUUCAGGAAACUGGGGCUAAUACCGGAUAUGAGCUCCUGCUGCAUGGUGUGGGUUGGAAAGUUUCGGCGGUUCGGGAUGGACUCGCGGCUUAUCAGCUUGUUGGUGGGGUAGUGGCUUACCAAGGCUUUGACGGGUAGCCGGCCUGAGAGGGUGACCGGCGACAUUGGGACUGAGAUACGGCCCAGACGCCUACGGGCGGCAGUAGUGGGGAAUAUUGCACAAUGGGCGGAAGCCUGAGGCAGCAACGUCGCGUGCGGGAUGCUGGGUUUUGGGUUGUAAACAGCUGUCGCCUGUGACGAAGCGUGAGUGACGGUAAUGGGUAAAGAAGCACCGGCUAACUACGUG